Molecule: ribosomal RNA, 1661 nt
Filed under: metagenome
Description: bacterial LSU rRNA
Rfam family: Bacterial large subunit ribosomal RNA
Source: RNAcentral
UCAGAAGUGCGAAUGCUGACAUAAGUAACGAUAAAGCGGGUGAAGAGCCCGCUCGCCGGAAGACCAAGGGUUCCUGUCCAACGUUAAUCGGGGCAGGGUGAGUCGACCCCUAAGGCGAGGCCGAAAGGCGUAGUCGAUGGGAAACAGGUUAAUAUUCCUGUACUUGGUGUUACUGCGAAGGGGGGACGGAGAAGGCUAUGUUGGCCGGGCGACGGUUGUCCCGGUUUAAGCGUGUAGGCUGGUUUUCCAGGCAAAUCCGGAAAAUCAAGGCUGAGGCGUGAUGACGAGGCACUACGGUGCUGAAGCAACAAAUGCCCUGCUUCCAGGAAGAGCCUCUAAGCAUCAGGUAACAUCAAAUCGUACCCCAAACCGACACAGGUGGUCAGGUAGAGAAUACCAAGGCGCUUGAGAGAACUCGGGUGAAGGAACUAGGCAAAAUGGUGCCGUAACUUCGGGAGAAGGCACGCUGAUAUGUAGGUGAAGCGACUUGCUCGUGGAGCUGAAAUCAGUCGAAGAUACCAGCUGGCUGCAACUGUUUAUUAAAAACACAGCACUGUGCAAACACGAAAGUGGACGUAUACGGUGUGACGCCUCCCCGGUGCCGGAAGGUUAAUUGAUGGGGUCAGCGCAAGCGAAGCUCUUGAUCGAAGCCCCGGUAAACGGCGGCCGUAACAAUAACGGUCCUAAGGUAGCGAAGUUCCUUGUCGGGUAAGUUCCGACCUGCACGAAUGGCGUAAUGAUGGCCAGGCUGUCUCCACCCGAGACUCAGUGAAAUUGAACUCGCUGUGAAGAUGCAGUGUACCCGCGGCAAGACGGAAAGACCCCGUGAACCUUUACUAUAGCUUGACACUGAACAUUGAGCCUUGAUGUGUAGGAUAGGUGGGAGGCUUUGAAGUGUGGACGCCAGUCUGCAUGGAGCCGACCUUGAAAUACCACCCUUUAAUGUUUGAUGUUCUAACGUGGACCCGUGAUCCGGGUUGCGGACAGUGUCUGGUGGGUAGUUUGACUGGGGCGGUCUCCUCCUAAAGAGUAACGGAGGAGCACGAAGGUUGGCUAAUCCUGGUCGGACAUCAGGAGGUUAGUGCAAUGGCAUAAGCCAGCUUGACUGCGAGCGUGACGGCGCGAGCAGGUGCGAAAGCAGGUCAUAGUGAUCCGGUGGUUCUGAAUGGAAGGGCCAUCGCUCAACGGAUAAAAGGUACUCCGGGGAUAACAGGCUGAUACCGCCCAAGAGUUCAUAUCGACGGCGGUGUUUGGCACCUCGAUGUCGGCUCAUCACAUCCUGGAGCUGAAGUAGGUCCCAAGGGUAUGGCUGUUCGCCAUUUAAAGUGGUACGCGAGCUGGGUUUAGAACGUCGUGAGACAGUUCGGUCCCUAUCUGCCGUGGGCGCUGGAGAACUGAGGGGGGCUGCUCCUAGUACGAGAGGACCGGAGUGGACGCAUCACUGGUGUUCGGGUUGUCAUGCCAAUGGCACUGCCCGGUAGCUAAAUGCGGAAGAGAUAAGUGCUGAAAGCAUCUAAGCACGAAACUUGCCCCGAGAUGAGUUCUCCCUGACUCCUUGAGAGUCCUGAAGGAACGUUGAAGGCGACGACGUUGAUAGGCCGGGUGUGUAAGCGCAGCGAUGCGUUGAGCUAACCGGUACUAAUGAACCGUGAGGCUUAACC